ACACACACACACACACACACACACACACACACACACACACACAGAGAGAGAGAAACAACCUAUAUCCCAAAGCACUAACCUGGGAUCAGUUUUAAUAACAGGCAGCGCGUGGAUUGGCAUGGGGAUGGGGGCUGGCGCUCAGGUGAGCUGAUCCCAGGGAGAAGAUGCCUGUGGUCAGAUGUCACCUGCCCCCUCAAUGCCUCUGAUGCACGGCCUUCAUACCUACUGGGUCAAGAAGAUUGGAAUCAGGGAGGAGAGGAGGAGGGGACGGUAAUUGAAGAUUUGUCCAUAAAGGAACAGUGAGAGAGGCGCUUGCAUGACUGUGACCUUGCAGAAGAAGAGGAAACUAAUUUCGCUCCAGUUUGGUUCUAGCAGCAGAACAAGCACCUGUCAACUAAAUACAAAAUAAAGAAACUUUAUUCUCAGGAGGCUUGGAGAGCAGCAGAUAGGAGCACUGGUUUUAUUAACAUUAAAAAGGAAGGUAGUCUUAUCAUAGCUAGACCAGUCCCACGUGGGUCCUCUUGAGCGCUAUUAAAAAAGCUAAUGGGGAGGGAUGUGUGGAUGGCAUUGGCCCCUUGCGACGACUGCCAAAUGUAUAAAAAGAAAAUGAUGAGCCCUUUAAAAAUCUUGUGCUGCACCUUAAUUAACCAUCCGUGUUUGGUAGUGUAAGGGAGAGGAUGGAAGGAUGCGGGGAGGGAGAGUGGGAGGGGGAGAGAAGGCGAGGGGGGUCUUUCAAGAACAAUGACUUUGAAAUGCAAAGAAGCCGAAGCAGCCUUAUCAAGCAUUUACUUCAUCAUAUCAUAGUGAAGAGGGGAGCAGGAGCAGAAUUCUUGAUUUACCAUCAGUCGUGUUCAGAGAACUGCACAAAGAGGAAGUCUUUUCAUUUGUAUUUUGCACAGGAAACGAAGAUACAAGUGCUGAUCUUUCAUCUCGGGUUGAACUAAGGCAUCAAAGCCGGGUUUGAUACCAGGACUCUCUCGCUCUGUUUGCAGUUUGUCAGUGUGUUCUUGUGUUCCUGCUGUUGCCCCAAAUGAAAGCGAAAGAGCUGCAGAUGAGACAUACUGUACAUGAUGCUGUUGUACAAAUAUGGACGCCAUCAUUCAUCCAGGGAAGGAUACUGAAGAUAUAAAGUACCAGACCGGAAUAUGUUCGGGAUUCAUCCAAUGGCAUUGAGGAGUAUACCAAGUGCAUCGAUGAUGUCAUCCCCACAGUGACAGUACAUACAUACCCCAACCAGAAGCCGUGGAUUACAGGCAACAUUCGCUAAAGGUUAGAGCUGCCGCUUUCAAGGACACUAACCCGGGCACUUAUGAGAUAUCCCGCAAUGCCCACUGACGAACCAUCAAACAGGCAACGAGUCAAUACGGGACUAAGAUAGAAUCCUACUACACUGGCUCUGACGCUCAUCGGAUGUGGCAGGGCUUGUAAACUAUUACGGACUACAAAGGGAAGCCCAGCCGCGAACUGCCCAUUGAUACAAGCCUAUCAGAGGAGCUAAAUGACUUCUAUGCGCACUUCGAGGCAAGCAACACUUAAGCAUGCAUGAGAG
Molecule: long non-coding RNA, 1549 nt
Filed under: Salmo salar (Atlantic salmon)
Lineage: Eukaryota; Metazoa; Chordata; Actinopteri; Salmoniformes; Salmonidae
Description: lncRNA (ENSSSAG00000099220.1)
Source: RNAcentral